Molecule: ribosomal RNA, 506 nt
Filed under: uncultured bacterium
Lineage: Bacteria
Description: partial 16S ribosomal RNA
Rfam family: Bacterial small subunit ribosomal RNA
Source: RNAcentral
GAUGAACGCUAGCUACAGGCUUAACACAUGCAAGUCGAGGGGUAACGAGAGGAAAGCUUGCUUUCCUUGUCGACGACCGGCGCACGGGUGAGUAACGCGUAUCCAACCUGCCCCCAACUAGGGAAUAACCUUGCGAAAGUAAGACUAAUACCCUAUAAUUUCCUCAGAUGUCAUCUGACGAGGAAUAAAGAUUUAUCGGUUGUGGAUGGGGAUGCGUCUGAUUAGCUUGGUGGCGGGGUAACGGCCCACCAAGGCAACGAGCAGUAGGGGUUCUGAGAGGAGGGCCCCCCACAUUGGAACUGAGACACGGUCCAAACUCCUACGGGGGGCAGCAGUGAGGAAUAUUGGUAAAUGGGCGGAAGCCCGAACCAGCCAAGUAGCGUGCAGGAUGACGGCCCUAUGGGUUGUAACCUGCUUUUAUACAGGAAUAAAGUUAGCCACGUGUGGUUAUUUGUAGGUACUGUAUGAAUAAGGACCGGCUAAUUCCGUGCCAGCCGCCGCCGUAA